Molecule: ribosomal RNA, 814 nt
Filed under: uncultured bacterium
Lineage: Bacteria
Description: bacterial SSU rRNA
Rfam family: Bacterial small subunit ribosomal RNA
Source: RNAcentral
AGAGUUUGAUCCUGGCUCAGGACGAACGCUGGCGGCGUGCCUAAUGCAUGCAAGUCGAGCGACGAAUAGGUGCGGGUAACCAAACCUAUUACGGAGCGGCGAACGGGUGAGUAACACGUGAGCAACCUGCCCCGAAGACCGGGAUAGCCCAGGGGAAACUUGGAUUAAUACCGGAUAUCCUCUUUUGAUCGCAUGGUCGUUUGAGGAAAUGCUUUUACGCUUCGGGAUGGGCUCGCGGCCUAUCAGCUUGUUGGUGGGGUAACGGCCUACCAAGGCGUCGACGGGUAGCUGGUCUGAGAGGACGAUCAGCCACACUGGGACUGAGGACGCGGCCCAGACUCCUGACGGGAGGCAGCAGCACGGAAUUGUUGCGCAAUGGGCGAAAGCCUGACGCAGCAACGCCGCGUGGGGGAUGAACGCCUGACGGGUGGUAAACCCCUUUUAGGAGGGACGACAUAGACUGUACCUCCAGAAAAAGCCCCUGCCAACUACGUGCCAGCAGCCGCGGUAAUACGUACGGAGCGAGCGUUGUCCGGAAUCAUAAGGGCGUAAAGAGCUCGUCGGCGGAUUAGUAGUCGGCAGUGAAAACCGAUGCUCAACCUCGGCACUGCCGUCGAUACUGCUAUGGCUAGAGUGUGGUACACGAGAACGGAAUCCCUGGUGUANCCGUGGAAUGCUCAGAUAUCCCGACGAACUCCCGUAGCGAAGCGGGUCUCUGGGCNAUCUGACGCGUANGUCCGAAGCCUGAGAGCAACAGGUCGAUCCGGGUAUUCAUGCGAUGCCGCCCUGGCGUCGUACUAUGAUCCAACCCGUA